AGUGAACGCUGGCGGUAGGCCUAACACAUGCAAGUCGAACGGCAGCACAGUAAGAGCUUGCUCUUACGGGUGGCGAGUGGCGGACGGGUGAGGAAUACAUCGGAAUCUACUUUUUCGUGGGGGAUAACGUAGGGAAACUUACGCUAAUACCGCAUACGACCUACGGGUGAAAGCAGGGGAUCUUCGGACCUUGCGCGAUUGAAUGAGCCGAUGUCGGAUUAGCUAGUUGGCGGGGUAAAGGCCCACCAAGGCGACGAUCCGCAGCUGGUCUGAGAGGAUGAUCAGCCACACUGGAACUGAGACACGGCCCAGACUCCUACGGGAGGCAGCAGUGGGGAAUAUUGGACAAUGGGCGCAAGCCUGAUCCAGCCAUACCGCGUGGGUGAAGAAGGCCUUCGGGUUGUAAAGCCCUUUUGUUGGGAAAGAAAAGCAGCAGGUUAAUACCCCGCUGUUCUGACGGUACCCAAAGAAUAAGCACCGGCUAACUUCGUG
Molecule: ribosomal RNA, 492 nt
Filed under: uncultured bacterium
Lineage: Bacteria
Description: partial 16S ribosomal RNA
Rfam family: Bacterial small subunit ribosomal RNA
Source: RNAcentral